GGGUUGUGAGGUUAAGCGACUAAGCGUACACGGUGGAUGCCCUGGCAGUCAGAGGCGAUGAAGGACGUGCUAAUCUGCGAAAAGCGUCGGUAAGGUGAUAUGAACCGUUACAGCCGGCGAUGUCCGAAUGGGGAAACCCAGUGCAAUUCGUUGCACUAUCGUUAACUGAAUACAUAGGUUAACGAGGCGAACCGGGGGAACUGAAACAUCUAAGUACCCCGAGGAAAAGAAAUCAACCGAGAUUCCCCCAGUAGCGGCGAGCGAACGGGGA
This 271-nucleotide ribosomal RNA is filed under the name Klebsiella pneumoniae. RNAcentral describes it as "partial 23S ribosomal RNA". It matches the Rfam family "Bacterial large subunit ribosomal RNA", at positions 1 to 263 of the family's 2925-position model. The record is from RNAcentral. Lineage: Bacteria; Pseudomonadati; Pseudomonadota; Gammaproteobacteria; Enterobacterales; Enterobacteriaceae.